Molecule: ribosomal RNA, 245 nt
Filed under: uncultured Nocardioides sp.
Lineage: Bacteria; Bacillati; Actinomycetota; Actinomycetes; Propionibacteriales; Nocardioidaceae
Description: partial 16S ribosomal RNA
Rfam family: Bacterial small subunit ribosomal RNA
Source: RNAcentral
UACGUAGGGUCCGAGCGUUGUCCGGAAUUAUUGGGCGUAAAGGGCUCGUAGGCGGUCUGUUGCGUCGGGAGUGAAAUCCCUGGGCUUAACCCAGGGCCUGCUUUCGAUACGGGCAGACUAGAGGCAUUCAGGGGAGAACGGAAUUCCUGGUGUAGCGGUGAAAUGCGCAGAUAUCAGGAGGAACACCGGUGGCGAAGGCGGUUCUCUGGGAAUGUUCUGACGCUGAGGAGCGAAAGUGUGGGGAG